This 443-nucleotide ribosomal RNA is filed under the name uncultured bacterium. RNAcentral describes it as "partial 16S ribosomal RNA". It matches the Rfam family "Bacterial small subunit ribosomal RNA", at positions 338 to 795 of the family's 1533-position model. The record is from RNAcentral.
CCUACGGGAGGCAGCAGUGGGGAAUAUUGGGCAAUGGGCGCAAGCCUGACCCAGCAACGCCGCGUGAAGGAAGAAGGCUGUCGGGUUGUAAACUUCUUUUCUCAGGGACGAAGCAUGUGACGGUACCUGAGGAAUAAGCCACGGCUAACUACGUGCCAGCAGCCGCGGUAAUACGUAGGUGGCAAGCGUUAUUCGGAUUUACUGGGUGUAAAGGGCAUGUAGGCGGGACAGCAAGUCCGAUGUGAAAACCAUGGGCUCAACCUGUGGCCUGCAUUUGAAACUGUUUUUCUUGAGUACUGGCGAGGCAGACGGAAUUCGUAGUGUAGCGGUGAAAUGCGUAGAUAUUAUGAGGAACGCCAGUGGCGAAGGCGGUCUGCUAGACAGCAACUGACGCUGAGGCGCGAAAGCGUGGGGAGCAAACAGGAUUAGAUACCCCAGUAGUC